Molecule: non-coding RNA, 73 nt
Organism: Nicotiana attenuata
Lineage: Eukaryota; Viridiplantae; Streptophyta; Magnoliopsida; Solanales; Solanaceae
Source: Rfam
GUUUUUGUAGCUCAGUUGGUUAGAGUGCUUGCUUAGUUAGCGGAUAUCUUGAGUUUGACUCUGGACAAGAACA